This 173-nucleotide ribosomal RNA is filed under the name Sardinella zunasi (Japanese sardinella). RNAcentral describes it as "partial 12S rRNA". The record is from RNAcentral. Lineage: Eukaryota; Metazoa; Chordata; Actinopteri; Clupeiformes; Clupeidae.
CACCGCGGUUAUACGAGAGGCUCGAGUUGAUAAUCUCGGCGUAAAGAGUGGUUAUGGAGAAGACUAAACUAAAGCUGAAGACCCCCCAGGCUGUUUAACGCAUGCGGGUGUUCGAACCACUUAUACGAAAGUAGCUUUAACGCAUUCCACCAGAAUCCACGACAGCUGGGAAA